UACGUAGGGUGCAAGCGUUAUCCGGAAUUAUUGGGCGUAAAGAGCUCGUAGGCGGUUUGUCGCGUCUGCUGUGAAAACCGGAGGCUCAACCUCCGGCCUGCAGUGGGUACGGGCAAACUAGAGUGUGGUAGGGGAGACUGGAAUUCCUGGUGUAGCGGUGAAAUGCGCAGAUAUCAGGAGGAACACCGAUGGCGAAGGCAGGUCUCUGGGCCACUACUGACGCUGAGAAGCGAAAGCAUGGGGAGCGAACAGG
This 253-nucleotide ribosomal RNA is filed under the name uncultured bacterium. RNAcentral describes it as "partial 16S ribosomal RNA". It matches the Rfam family "Bacterial small subunit ribosomal RNA", at positions 524 to 776 of the family's 1533-position model. The record is from RNAcentral.